Molecule: unclassified non-coding RNA, 537 nt
Filed under: Hevea brasiliensis (rubber tree)
Lineage: Eukaryota; Viridiplantae; Streptophyta; Magnoliopsida; Malpighiales; Euphorbiaceae
Source: RNAcentral
AGCAAGAGUGCCCUCAUAAUGAACUGCUUUAAAAAAAGCAUGAUGUUAAUGAUAGGGUACUUAUGAUGAGUGCUGACCAAUAAACUUUGAAAAUAUAGGAAUUAACACAAAGAAAGAAAACAUCAAAAUAAAAUUUACUUUUCCAAAUAGAAGCUUCAGAAAAUAGUGCAUCUUUAGCAACAAGGAUAGCUCAAUCAAUCAAAAAGAAUAGAAAAUCACUCAUAUUCGUGCACUAAGACUUGCAAGUUGCAACAUUAAAAUACUUGAUAAUCGCCAUUGGUGAUUAAAUAGACCACUUAGCAGUCAUGUGGAUUCAGUUCAAAAACAACCUUCCUAUCGUUAUAAGUGGCCUACUAUUAAGUCAAGCAAGUAUUGCCAUGUCUUGAGCAAAUCAGUAUCAUCUAGAAAGGAAGCACUUCAAAGACUUAAAAGUGAAAAUGGUAACAUAAGACAAUCAUCUAAAGUGGUUAAAGAGGUGAUUUCUCAUGAUACUCCUUAGGAACUUUGCCAUUACCAAAUUAUUGUCUUGUUUCUUUC